AUUUGUGACCCUCCUGCCUUCAUCUCCAAAUUGCUGGGCUUACAGUUAUCAUAGUGGUAAGUGCAAAGGUCUGUUACAACAUCCUACAUUCCAGAGAGAAGGCAAACUUUCCCCUUUUGGCAUCAGAGGAAUCUGCAAGAGAUGUGAACUGCAGGCAUGUGAACUAAUGUGUGGGAAAGAUGGAUUUGUUGGCAAAGGCAGGAAGAGGUCCAUCUAGGAGAGCCGGGAUACAUGCAAAGGAUGCUGUGACGACGAACAAAACGGGAAAGAUGACAUGGGGGAGCACUUUCAAGUUGUCAGACAGAUUCAAAUCUGUGUCUGUCCAACUGCAGAGCCUAAACUUUUGGUCAUCCGAUCUAUGAAGUUGUAUCCCCGAGAGUGGCUGAUAGAGAACUAAAACUCUUUGGUUUAAGUGGUUCUCCUGGUGUAUUUGUGAGACAUACUUUUGGCUUUGGGGCUUCUACAUUCAACUUUGUUUUACCUGAGAAUGGCUAAGAAGAUUCCCAAAACUCAUGUCAAACUCAUGACUUUCAUUGUAAGUUUCCUUUGCAAGUUUUUAAAAUGUAGCUUGUGAUGAACAAGAGUGUAGACUGUCUAAAAUUAAAUUUAUUGUAACUAUAAAAAACACAUGGCAUUGUACAUAUUUGGGGGGAACUAGGUGAUAUUCCCAUAUGUGUAUACAUUUUAUACAUUGUGUACAGUGCAUACUUUUUGAUUGGUAACUGGAUAAAUUAAGCAUGAAAUGUUUUUUAAAGUUUUUUUUAGUUGUCAAUGGACCUUUAUUUUAUUUAUUUCUAUGUGGUGCUGGGAAUCCAAUCCAGUACCUCACACAUUCUAGGCAAGCGCUCUACCACAACCCCGGCCCCCAAGCAUGAUAAUCUUGUUCUAAUAAAAAAGUUUAUUUAUUUUUCUCCA
Marmota flaviventris (yellow-bellied marmot) is the source of this 915-nucleotide non-coding RNA. The record is from RefSeq and is a predicted model, not a curated record. Lineage: Eukaryota; Metazoa; Chordata; Mammalia; Rodentia; Sciuridae.